UACGAAGGGAGCUAGCGUUGGUAGGAAUCACUGGGCGUAAAGCGCACGUAGGGGGCACGUUAAGUCAGGGGUGAAAUCCUGUAGCUCAACUCCAGAACUGCCUUUGAUACUGGCGUGCUCGAGUGUGGGAGAGGUUGGUGGAACUGCGAGUGUAGAGGUGAAAUUCGUAGAUAUUCGGAAGAACACCAGUGGCGAAGGCGGCCAACUGGCCCAUUACUGACGCUGAGGUGCGAAAGCGUGGGGAGCAAACAGG
Molecule: ribosomal RNA, 253 nt
Filed under: uncultured bacterium
Lineage: Bacteria
Description: partial 16S ribosomal RNA
Rfam family: Bacterial small subunit ribosomal RNA
Source: RNAcentral